GUAGGCCUUCUAUAUGGGGCCUGCCAGAGAUUAAACUCAACCAAAUUUUAUUUAAUGUCAACCGAUUAUUUAAUAGUCAAAACUUUCAACAACGGAUCUCUUGGUUCUCGCAUCGAUGAAGAACGCAGCGAAAUGCGAUAAGUAAUAUGAAUUGCAGAUAUUCGUGAAUCAUCGAAUCUUUGAACGCACAUUGCGCCCUUUGGUAUUCCAAAGGGCAUGCCUGUUUGAGCGUCAUUUCUCCCUCAAACCCUCGGGUUUGGUGUUGAGCGAUACGCUGGGUUUGCUUGAAAGAAAGGCGGAGUAUAAACUAAUGGAUAGGUUUUUUCCACUCAUUGGUACAAACUCCAAAACUUCUUCCAAAUUCGACCUCAAAUCAGGUAGGACUACCCGCUGAACUUAAGCAUAUCAAUA
RNAcentral lists this ribosomal RNA (411 nucleotides) under Lodderomyces parapsilosis. Its description in RNAcentral is "eukaryotic LSU rRNA". The stretch from base 81 to 234 matches the Rfam family "5.8S ribosomal RNA". The record is from RNAcentral. Lineage: Eukaryota; Fungi; Ascomycota; Pichiomycetes; Serinales; Debaryomycetaceae.